GUGUGUGUGUCUAUGGUUGCAUACCUGGAUACAUUGGACAAAGCUGCACAUAUCCUUGCAACAAGACUUUCUACGGUGACAACUGUAGCAGACGAUGUAACCCGGAGUGUGAGUACCAGCAGUGUCAUCUCGUGACUGGGGACUGCUUGAGUUGUCUACCAGGGAGGGUCGGCCCACAAUGUGAACAUGUUUGUGAUAACCAUACGUAUGGCUACAACUGCCUUAAUGCUUGCUCACCUUAGUGUGUGAUGUCUGAGUGUGACGUCACCAACGGCCAUUGUAUUAUAUGUAGUCCAG
Molecule: long non-coding RNA, 297 nt
Organism: Physella acuta
Lineage: Eukaryota; Metazoa; Mollusca; Gastropoda; Physidae
Source: RefSeq, a predicted model, not a curated record